UACGGGAGGCAGCACUGGGGAAUAUUGCACAAUGGGCGCAAGCCUGAUGCAGCCAUGCCGCGUGUAUGAAGAAGGCCUUCGGGUUGUAAAGUACUUUCAGUCGUGAGGAAGGUGUUAAGGUUAAUAACCUUAGCAAUUGACGUUAGCGACAGAAGAAGCACCGGCUAACUCCGUGCCAGCAGCCGCGGUAAUACGGAGGGUGCGAGCGUUAAUCGGAAUUACUGGGCGUAAAGGGCACGCAGGCGGUUAAUUAAGUUGGAUGUGAAAUCCCCGGGCUUAACCUGGGAAUGGCAUUCAAGACUGGUUAGCUAGAGUCUUGUAGAGGGGGUAGAAUUCCAUGUGUAGCGGUGAAAUGCGUAGAGAUGUGGAGGAAUACCGGUGGCGAAGGCGGCCCCUGGACAAAGACUGACGCUCAUGUGCGAAAGCGUGGGGAGCAAAC
Molecule: ribosomal RNA, 439 nt
Filed under: uncultured bacterium
Lineage: Bacteria
Description: bacterial SSU rRNA
Rfam family: Bacterial small subunit ribosomal RNA
Source: RNAcentral